UACGUAGGGUGCGAGCGUUAAUCGGAAUUACUGGGCGUAAAGUGUGCGCAGGUGGCCGCGCAAGUCGGGUGUGAAAUCCCCGAGCUUAACUUGGGAAUUGCGCUCGAAACUACGUGGCUCGAGUGUGGCAGAGGAAGGUGGAAUUCCACGUGUAGCGGUGAAAUGCGUAGAGAUGUGGAGGAACACCGAUGGCGAAGGCAGCCCCCUGGGCUAACACUGACGCUCAUGCACGAAAGCGUGGGGAGCAAACAGG
RNAcentral lists this ribosomal RNA (253 nucleotides) under uncultured bacterium. RNAcentral's name for it is "partial 16S ribosomal RNA". It matches the Rfam family "Bacterial small subunit ribosomal RNA", at positions 524 to 776 of the family's 1533-position model. The record is from RNAcentral.